CCAGACUCCUACGGGAGGCAGCAGUGGGGGAUAUUGCACAAUGGGGGGAACCCUGAUGCAGCGACGCCGCGUGGGUGAAGAAGUAUUUCGGUAUGUAAAGCCCUAUCGGCAGGGAAGAAAUUGGACGGUACCUGACUAAGAAGCCCCGGCUAACUACGUGCCAGCAGCCGCGGUAAUACGUAGGGGGCAAGCGUUAUCCGGAUUCACUGGGUGUAAAGGGAGCGUAGACGGCCAUGCAAGCCUGGAGUGAAAGCCCGGGGCCCAACCCCGGGACUGCUCUGGGAACUGUGCGGCUGGAGUGCGGGAGGGGCAGGCGGAAUUCCUGGUGUAGCGGUGAAAUGCGUAGAUAUCAGGAGGAACACCGGCGGCGAAGGCGGCCUGCUGGACCGCGACUGACGUUGAGGCUCGAAAGCGUGGGGAGCAAACAGGAUUAGAUACCCGCGUA
This 445-nucleotide ribosomal RNA is filed under the name uncultured bacterium. RNAcentral describes it as "bacterial SSU rRNA". It matches the Rfam family "Bacterial small subunit ribosomal RNA", at positions 331 to 792 of the family's 1533-position model. The record is from RNAcentral.